Molecule: long non-coding RNA, 22754 nt
Filed under: Triticum aestivum (bread wheat)
Lineage: Eukaryota; Viridiplantae; Streptophyta; Magnoliopsida; Poales; Poaceae
Description: long non-coding RNA (TAES_LNC022488)
Source: RNAcentral
CUUUUUUUUGUAGUGAUACCAAUAUGAUAUGGUAUAUAUGCAAUGGAAGGUGUAGACCAAUGAUCACUAAUGUGCACAAGUAACGUUGCCGGCAAUACUCAAUGGCUAGUCUCGAUAGGCAAGUGACGCAAAAUGGGCUAGGGGUUAUAAAUGCAAUGGCAAGGAGAAUGUACAAUGAUGUCAUCGAGGUUACCGUCCUUAUGUACGAUGAUGACCUCGUGGUGAUGAUGAGUGGCGGUGUUCUUGAUGUCGACCCGUUCCUAGUUAGACGAAACACCCUAGGAAACGGAAGAAACCGCAAACUCAAAAUCUCCAAAGGCAAAUGUCAAAUGGUGGUAGCAGAAGCGGAGGUGGUUUGCACUCAACAAUGCGGAAGUGGAAUGAUGUGCUAUACACGUGUUUGAGUUGAAGUUGUCAUCCCUAAGUAGCCGAAACACCUUAGGAGACACAAACCACAACUCAAACAAGCUCAAACAACAAUUGGGUUGGCAAAAUGUAUGGUGGGCAAGGUUAUUUGGAAGUGGUGGUGGUGGUUGAUGAAGAAGCAACCAUCUCUAAGUAGCCGAAACACCUUAGAAGACUUGAAUCACUACUCAAGCAACCACUAAUGCUAUGGCAAGCAAAAUGGGUUAGGUUGCGGAAGGCUAUGGUGGUUAUGAGGAUGAUAUGGUGGAGGCCCUAGGAAAAGAUGCCAAAGUUACAAAAUUUUGAUGGAUUCAAAAGAUGUUGGUGGUAUUUUUGUGGGAUGGGUGAUGUCAAUAGCUUCAAAACGAGCUAAAGAACGUCAAAAUCGGAGUUGGGAUGAAUUAGUUAUGGACGAAACAAAAAUCAGCCGAAGUCAGUUUUCACAAGGGUCGGACAACCGGUGGAUGGAGCGCGGGGCGGACGUCUGGAAAUGGCCGGAAAUCCGAUGUUUUGGUUUGGGAUGGGUGGUGUAGACGUCCGGUGCUGCGGACGGGCCGGUCGUCCGGUAAAGUGUCGGACGUCCGGUGGGUCUGGGUCAACUCGAGAUCCGAGUUUCAGGACACGAUUUUGGGCGGAAAAUAGAAAUUUCGGGGUCAAAAUUGAUGAGAUUUCGUGGAUGAAAGAUGGGGGAACUUAGGGAGAUGCUAGAUCCACUCGAAACCAAGAAAAUCAAUGGAUAAAAAUCAACAAAACGUCAUCAAACCAACAAAUCACAAAAAAAAAUUGGGGCUAUUUUUGGUGAUGAUUUUCGAAAUUUAGGACGAAAUGAAGCAAAAGAAGGCUACCAAAAGAGGGGUAGGGGCUCCAAAUUCGUGAUCAAUGUGUCUCAUGAUACCAAGAUGAUGUAGGGUAGAACUCUGGAUGCCCGAUCAUUCACAAUUGAAGGGAAUCCUACGAAGAACACGAGGGGGGAAACGAGGGGAACACGAGGGGAAACACAAGAGAAAUCACUCAACCAACAAGAUCCGGUCACACAUAUUCUAGAUCCUCGAAACACAAAGAGAUACACGGUCUGAAUCCAACAAAGGACAAUACAAGUAGCUAGUUCAUCUCCAAUGAGGAGGUCUUGAGGGUCAUCCCAUGAAUGGGGUCUUGAAUCCAAGAUGGAUCUUCUCCAAAGAGGUCGCGGUCUCUCACGAGGAGUAGAUCCGUAUGGAUGAGCAAAGCUCUAUCUCAAAUGAGCUAAACCUAUGCUAACUCUAACUUGGAGGAGAUGGAGGAGUAUAUAUAGUCUAGGUCCACGAAGGGGUAAGUGGGAGAGGGAUACAUGGGCCUCGGGCCCGAUCUCUAUGCACAGACAGGCAUCGGACGUCCGACGGCUGUCGGUCGUCCGGACGCUCGCGGGCGUCCAGUCGUCCGGAAGUCUUUGGACUUCCGAUGUUUUGGCUCUGGUCCGGUAGUGCCGGACGUACGGUCAGCGUCGGUCGUCCGGGCGCUGAUGAGUGUCGGACGUCUGGUGUCUGGUGGUCUUCCGGGCGUUGUAGGUUGCCUAGGCUGGAAUCUAUCUCGUUGGUGGAGUCUCAAGGCAUCGGAUGUCCGGAGAUCGUCGGUCGUCCAGUGGUUGUCGGUCGUCCGAGCGUUGUAGCUUCCUGGCAGCUCUUCCUCUUGUUCCUCGCGCUUGGUGUCUUCUCCGUCCUGUCCAAUGCUCCUAGCUGAUCCAUGUCCUUCCUCCUGGCUCUUGGUCAUGCAUAACACAUAUGUUUGAGGUAGUAGCCAUGUCUCACAUGUGGAAAGUGACGAUUCGGAGAGGAGCGAGUUCUCCUUGUGUCCAAUGGCGUGUGUUUUAGGUGUCGUCAUAUGUCCUCUUGGGGUUUGGAGAGUAGUCGGAGUGUACAUAGGGAUGAACGUGGGAUGCUCCGCAUUAGGAAGGCAUUGGGAAGUAAUAAGUAGUUGAUGGGUUGCUAGAGUGACAGAAGCUUAAACCCUAGUUUAUGCGUUGCUUCGUAAGGGGCUGAUUUGGAUCCAUAUGUUUCAUGCUAUGGUUAGGUUUACCUUAAUUCUUCUUUCGUAGUUGCGGAUGCUUGCGAGAGGGUUUUAUCAUAAGUGGGAUGCUUGUCCAAGGAAGGGCAGUACCCAAGCACCAGUCCACCCACAUAUCAAAUUAUCAAAGUAACGAACGCAAAUCAUAUGAGCAUGAUGAAAACUAGCUUGACAGAAAUUCCCAUGUGUCCUCGGGAGCACUUUUCUUUAUAUAAGAGAUUGUCCAGGCUUGUCCUUUGCUACAAAAAGGAUUGGGCCACCUUGUUGCACCUUAGUUACUUUUGUUACUUGUUACCCGUUAUGAAUUACCUUAUCACAAAACUAUAUUUUACCGAUAAUUUCAAUGCUUGCAGAGAAUACCUUACUGAAAACCGCUUGUCAUUUCCUUCUGCUCCUCGUUGGGUUCAACACUCUUACAUAUCAAAAGUAUUACGAUAGAUCCCCUAUACUUGUGAGUCAUCAAGACUCUUUUCUGGCAUCGUUGUCGGGGAGUGAAUGCUGGAAUUUUUGUCUAUUUGGGCCUAGCACAAUAGCAGUUUCAGAAAUUCCUAAUAAAUCCUAGAGGCCCACACAGCCCAUUCGUGCAAGGCAAGAGGUGGAACUAAAGUUUAGUCCCACAUUGCUAGUUUAGAGGGAGUUGGACCUCCUUAUAAGGGAGGCUCUUUCCCCACUUGUAUGAGCAUGAGAACAAGAGGGACACCCACGCGCGCUCCUCCUCUGCCGCCCGCCUCGCCAUGCCACGCCUCAUCAUGAUGCGCCGCGCCGCGGGUUGCGGGAAUGAGCCGAGCCGAUGUUAAAUUUUUGCCACGCACGAUGGGUAUACGAAAGGUCACGCGGGAGCUGAAACAUUUUUCGUAGUGGACACUGAAUCCGAACGGGGUGACUCUUCGGCUGAAGUCUGUUCGCUUCAUCUCCCUCUCUUUGUUUCGCCUCCCGUUGCUUCCCUCUCGCCUCCUUCUCUUGCGCCUAUAAAAGGGAGGUCGCUCCUCUCAGAGAGACGCACCAGAACUUCUCCUUCCUCUCGCCACUGGUUCCAAUCUCUAAGUUGCUGCUAUCUUCCUCAUCCCGGCUUGCGGCGUGCACCACGAGUCGGGAUAGUAGGCCUCUGAAACCGCACUUCUUUGAGUCAUGUACGGGAGAAGGGUGAUAAGGUUUUUGGGGAGUGCUCUGCGCGACUACUGACUUCUUCGUCACGGACGCCCCGGACUCCGAUGACUACUUCCCCGACGUCGACAGCCUCCUCGACGACAUGGAGGACACCGACCCCAAGUCCAGUGCCUCUGCUCCGGCUGCUGUCCAGUACAUGUUCUUGUUUUUCCUGUUAGAGGUCCUGACACAGUUCCUUGUUCUAGUGUUUGCCCUACACAUGUUAGGAUCUACCUCAUAUAUGCAUCUUGAUCUAUUGUCUGCUCGAGAGAUGAUCGGUUCUAGCUCAGAUAUGCAGAUGUUAUUUACCUUCACUUUGUCAAAUCACAUGACUUGUUUUAUCACUGCCAUACUAGUCAUGCUUUAUCUAGUAUUUCUGUUAAUAAAAUCAUUCGGUAAAUUUCUCAUAUUUCCAAUAGUGAAGCGCCUUUGGUAGGUGGAAUUUGGUAAGGAAACAUUUAUAUAGUGUGCUGAAAUUUACUAUCACUUGUUACUAUGGAAAAUAAUCCUUUGAGGGGCUUGUUUGGGGCAUCUUCAUCCUGACCAGAAGUGCAAAUAGUUGCUCCUCAACAUACUGAACCUACUGAAAGUAUUUACUUUGAAAUUCCUUCGGUACGAUAGAGAAACUGCUAGCUAAUCCCUAUACAGGAGAUGGAACAUUACAUCCCGAUAUGCACCUAAUCUUUGUGGAUGAAGUUCGUGGAUUAUUUAAGCUUGCAGGUAUGCCCAAGGAUGUUGUCAAGAAGAAGGUCUUCCCUUUAUAUUUUAAGGGAAAGGCGUUGACAUGGUUUAGGCUAUGUGAUGAUAUUGGAUCAUGGAACUACAACCGAUUGAAAUUGGAAUUUCAUCAGAAGUUUUAUCCUAUGCAUCUGGUUCAUCGUGAUCGGAAUUAUAUAUAUAAUUUUUGGCCUCGUGAAGGAGAAAGUAUAGAUCAAGCUUGGGGGAGACUUAAGUCAAUGUUAUAUUCAUGCCCCAAUCAUGAGCUCUCAAGAGAAAUUAUUAUUCAAAAAAUUUAUUCUCGGCUUUCUCAUAAUGAUCGAUCCAUGCUCGAUACUUCUUGUAUUGGUUCUUUUAUGAUGAAGACUAUUGAAUUCAAAUGGGAUUUAUUGGAAAUAAUUGAACGCAACUCUGAAGAUUGGGAACUCGGCGAUGGUAAGGAGUUAGGUAUAACCCCUAAGUUUGAUUCUGUUAAAUCUUUUAUGGAUACCGAUGCUUUUCGUGAAUUUAGCACUAAAUAUGGAGUUGGCUCUGAGAUAGUAGCUUCUUUCUGUGAAUUUUUUGCUACUCAUGUUGAUCUUCCUAAGGAGAAGUGGUUUAAAUAUCAUCCUCCCAUUGAAGUAAAGGUAGUAGAACCUAUUAAAGUUGAAUAAAAAAGUAUUACUUAUAAUGUUGAUCCUAUUGUUCCUUCCUCUUAUAUUGAGAAACCACCUUUCCCAGUUAGAAUAAAGGAUCAUGCUAAAGCUUCAAUUGUGGUUCGUAAGAGUAAUGCUAGAACACCUACACCCCCUGAGCAAAUUAAAGUUGAACCUAGUAUUUCUAUGGUUAAAGAUCUCUUGGUCGAUAAUAUUGAUGGGCAUGUUAUUUAUUUUUGUGAUGAAGUUGCUAGAAUUGCUACAUACUAAAAAUAAACAUAGACCUGUUGUUGGCAUGCCCGUUGUUUCUGUUAAAAUAGGAGAUCAUUGUUAUCAUGGCUUAUGUGAUAUAGGUGCUAGUGUGAGUGCAAUACCUCAUUCCUUAUACAAAGAAAUUAUGCAUGAUAUUGCACCUACUAAAAUAGAAGGUAUUGAUGUUACUAUUAAGCUUGCCAAUAGAGAAACUAUUUCACCAAUUGGGAUUGUUAGAGAUGUUGAAGUCUUGUGUGGGAAAAUUAAAUAUCCUACUGAUUUUCUUGUUCUUGGUUCCCCACAAGAUGACUUUUGUCCCAUUAUAUUUGGUAGACCCUUCUUGAAUAUUGUUAACGCUAAGAUAGAUUGCGAAAAGGAUAUUGUUACUGUUGGUUUAGGGGAUAUGUCUCAUGAUUUUAAUUUUGUUAAAUUUCAUAGACAACCCCAUGAUAAAGAAUUGCCUAGUAAAGAUAAAAUUUAUUGGUCUUGCUUCUAUUGUCGUGCCUCCUAAUGAUCCUUUAGAACAAUAUUUGCUCGACCAUGAAAAUGAUAUGUUUAUGAAUGAAAGAAGGGAAAUAGAUGAAGUAUUCUUUAAGCAAGGACCUAUUUUGAAACACAACUUGCCCAUUGAAAUCCUUGGGGAUCCUUCUCCACACAAGGGUGAUCCCAUGUUUGAGCUUAAUCAAUUACCUGAUACUCUGAGAUAUGCUUAUCUCGAUGAAAAGAAGAUAUAUCCAGUUAUUAUUAGUGCUAACCUUUCAGAGCAUGAAGAAGAGAAAUUAUUGAAAACUCUGAAGAAGCAUCGUGCUGCUAUUGGAUAUACUCUUGAUGAUCUUAAUGGCAUUAGUCCCACUCUAUGCCAGCACAAAAUAAAAUUGGAGAAAGAUGCUAAACCAGUUGUUGAUCAUCAACGACGGUUAAACCCUAAGAUGAAAGAAGUGGUAAGAAAUGAAAUACUAAAGCUUCUAGAGGCAGGUAUAAUUUAUCUUGUUGCUGAUAGUUAGUGGGCAAGUCCUGUCCAUUGUGUCCCUAAGAAGGGAGGUAUUACUGUUGUUCUUAAUGAUAAGGAUGAAUUGAUCCCACAAAGAAUUGUUAUAGGUUAUAGAAUGGUAAUUGAUUUCUGCAAAUUAAAUAAAGCUACUAGAAAGGAUCAUUACUCUCUACCUUUUAUUGAUCAAAUGCUAGAAAGACUAUCCAAACAUACACAUUUUUGCUUUCUAGAUGGUUAUUCUGGUUUCUCUCAAAUACCUAUGUCACAAGAGGAUCAGGAAAAGACCACUUUUACUUGCCCUUUCGGUACUUUUGCUUAUAGACGUAUGCCUUUUGGUUUUAUGUAAUGCACCUGCUACCUUUCAAAGAUGUAUGAUUGCUAUAUUCUGUGACUUCUGCGAAAAGAUUGUUGAGGUUUUAAUGGAUGAUUUCUCCGUUUAUGGAACUUCUUUUGAUGAUUGCUUAAGCAACCUUGAUCGAGUUUUGCAGAGAUGUGAAGAAACUAAUCUUGUCUUGAAUUGGGAGAAGUGCCACUUUAUGGUUAAUGAAGGUAUUAUCUUGGGGCAUAAAAUUUCUAAAAGAGGUAUUGAAGUUGAUAAAGCUAAAGUAGAUGCUAUUCAAAAGAUGUCGUGUCCUAAAGAUAUCAAAGGUAUAAGAAGUUUCCUUGGUCAUGCUGGUUUCUACAGGAGGUUUAUUAAAGACUUCUCUAAAAUUUCUAGGCCUCUGACUAAUCUCUUGCAAAAAGAUGUUCAUUUUGUCUUUGAUGAUGAUUGUGUAGAAGUAUUUGAAAUACUUAAGAAAGCCUUGAUUUCUGCACCUAUUGUUGAGCCACCUGAUUGGAAUUUACCAUUUGAAAUGAUGUGUGAUGCUAGUGAUUAUGAUGCUCCUACCUCCCGUGGCCGGCUGUGCUGCCGCGAAGGCCUCACCGCCCCCUACUACUCCCACUGCUGGCCAGGCCAUCCCUCCACUCACCCACACCCCCUGUUAUUCUACGGCGACGGCAGCGCAGCCGAACCAGUGAACCCUCAUACUCCUCUCCGCAUGUGCAUCCACUGUCGCGUCUUCCGCGGCUCCGUGUCGUCCCCUUCCUAGGCAUCGCCGUGGUCCAUCGUCGUGGUGCUCUCGGCGCGGCGUGGUCAACGUGGUCAAGGAACGACUUCCAUCGGACAUGGACUGUACAUGGAGAGGCUAACAGUUGGGUCCAUGGUAGCCGCAAGGAAGUGCCUCCUUAUUACGCGCAAAAUAAUUAUUGCUCCACCUGACAGCGGGGACCCACCGGACGGGCCACCGCAUUUCGCGAAAAAAAUGAUUCGCCCCCUGACUGCUGGGACCCACGAGCUACAUCUUCGCACACAAGGAAAUGCGUCCGGGAAAAAAACUAUUCGCCCCUGACUGCUGGGACCCACCAGCUACAUCUUCGCACGCAAGGAAGUGCGUCCGGAAAAAAACGAUUCGCCCCCCGACUGCUGGGACCCACAGCUACACCUUCGCACGCAAGGAAGUGCGUCCGCGCAAAAAAAACGAUUCGCCCCCUGACUGCUGGGACCCAGCAACUACACCUUCGCACGCAAGGAAGUGCGUUCGGGCAAAAAAAACACAAAACGAUUCGCCCCCUGACUGCUGGGACCCACCAACUACAUCUUCGCACGCAAGAAAUUGCCUGACAGUCGGGACCCACCUGGUCGAAGCGUACGUAGCGUUGUCAUUCUGGUCGCGAACGUGUAUGUACAUACAUACUGGUCGAUGUAGAGGCGUGCAUGUGUCGUAGUAGAGGCGCGCACGUAGAAUGUACACGUAUGUACAGCGGCCAGGGUGCAAGAAAGAAAAUACGGCCACGUACGUACAUACGGGCAGGGUCUCGAACGCCUACUCGCGCAUAUGUACGGCCAGGGCUCGUGUACAUGGCUGGGUCGGAACGGAGAAACAGCAUCGUCGUCAUGUUCAUGGGGAGCCAACCGGCUGGGUCAGAACGGAAUGCAUGGUUGUGUUCAUCGGGAGGGCUUGGACGGAACAGGCGAUGGAAACGAGGCCUGGCAUACCGCAGAACGGAGGAAACGGCCUUGUGUUCGACCGGCCACGUUCGAAACGGGGGUCCUGUUGAUCGGGAGGGGUCUGGAGUACCGCAAAACGGAGGAAACGGACCUCCUACGGUCGAAACGGGGGUCCUGUUGAUCGGGAGGGGUGUGGCGUACCGCAAAACGGACAAAACGGACCUCCUACGAUCGAAACGGGGGUCCUGUUGAUUGGGAGGGGUGUGGCGUACUGCAAACGGACGAAACAGACUUGUGUUGGAGCACUACGGUCGAAAUAGGGGUCAUGUUCAUUGGGAGGGGUGUGGCGUACCGCAAAACGGAACUCCACGGGAUACUGUUCAUCUCCACCGUCGACCUCCUCCAGCCUCCACGGGCUACCAUCUACCUCCUCCAGCCUCCACGGGCUCCUAUUCAUCUAGCCUCCACCGCGUGCUACUCCACCGGCUACUAUUCAACCACCCCUCCANNNNNNNNNNNNNNNNNNNNNNNNNNNNNNNNNNNNNNNNNNNNNNNNNNNNNNNNNNNNNNNNNNNNNNNNNNNNNNNNNNNNNNNNNNNNNNNNNNNNNNNNNNNNNNNNNNNNNNNNNNNNNNNNNNNNNNNNNNNNNNNNNNNNNNNNNNNNNNNNNNNNNNNNNNNNNNNNNNNNNNNNNNNNNNNNNNNNNNNNNNNNNNNNNNNNNNNNNNNNNNNNNNNNNNNNNNNNNNNNNNNNNNNNNNNNNNNNNNNNNNNNNNNAGCGAAGGAAUCGCUCGACCGGGUUUAGUUAACAGCCAUUGAUUGAUCGCUCGGGUUCAGUAACGCGUAGCCUGCAGUGCAAUCGCUUGGGUUCAUUUAGAGCCCAACGCCUCGCUCGGGUUCAGUUAGAGCCAACGUCUCGCACACACGCGCGUACGUGUAGGAGAGAAACGCGCAUCGCUCGGCCCCCGACCUCCCACCGUAACCGGUAACUCCCCUAAAUUUUCCUCGCCCUCGCUUCUACCACGGUUUUUUCUGUCAUGGACAGCCCAAAGAAUGUCAUGCAACUGCGUCUCCGGCCCGCCCAGGACGAAAAGCCCAUUUUCUGUCAUGAUUUUUUGUCAUAGAAGUAGGAGCCCACCACAUCUAUGAUGAUACCGGGUUUUGUCACAAUUAUCGUCAUAGAAGUGUCAUAUGUAUGACAGAAAAAAAUUUCGUUCGGCCCAAAAUGUCACGGAUGUGUCUUUUUUGUAGUGAAGUAUCGGUAUGUUUUCGUCUUUGUUUCGUUCAUGUGAUAUGUGCAAAUCUUGGAGCGUCUUUUGCAUUUAGUUUUCAUUUUUUAUGCACCAUGCUGGUAUGAGAUGGUCCAUGGUUGAUUUAUAGAAUGCGCAUUGCACUUCACUUAUAUCUUUUGAGUAUGGCUUUAUAGAAUUAUUCGUGUGCUUCACUUGUAUCAUUUGAAGUUUGGAUUGCCUGUUUCUCUUCACAUAGAAAACCGAUAUUUGUAGAAUGCUCUUUUGCUUCACUUAUAUUUGUUAGAGCAUGUUCUUUUGUAAAAAUAAUUAAACUCUCAUGCUUCACUUAUAUCCAUUUAGAGAGCCAACGGGAAUUGGUCAUUUCCAUGGUUAGUCAUAAAAUCCUACAUAAAACUUAUGGAUCACUGAAUAUGAUAUGUUUGAUUCCUUGCAAUAUUUUUGCGAUAUAGAGAUGAUAAUAUGUGGGAGACACUAGUAAACAGUUGUGGUUAGUAAGAAUAUUGGUGUUAAGGUUUGUGAUUCCUGAAGCAUGCACAUAUAGUCUCUCGUUAUGCUAUGAAAGUUGGAGCAUGAUUUAUUAUUGAUUGUCUUCCUUAUGAGUGGCGGUCGGAGACGAGCGAUGGACUUUUCCUACCAAUACAUCCCCUAGGGGCAUGCGUAGUAAUACUUUGCUUCGAGGGCUAAUAAACUUUUGCAAUAAGUAUAUGAGAUCUUUAUGACUAAUGUGAGUCCAUGGAUUAUACGCACUCUUACCUUUCCGCAAUUUUCUAGCCUCUACGGUACCGUGCAUUGCCCUUUCUCACCUCAAGAGUUGGUGCAAACUUCGCCUGCAUCCAAACCCCGUGAUAUGAUACGCUCUAUCACACAUAAGCCUUAUUAUAUCUUCCUCAAAACAGCCACCAUACCUACCUAUUAUGGACUUUCCAUAGCCAUUCCGAGAUAUAUUGCCAUGCAACUUCCACCGCUUUCGUUUGAUGACUUGAGCAUUCAUUGUCAUAUUGCUUUGCAUGAUCAUAUAGCUGACAUAGUAGUUGUGGCUCAGCCACCAUGCAUCAUUUUUAUACAUGUUAUGCUAGAUCAUUGCACCUCCUGGUACAUUGCCAGAGGCAUUCAUGUAGUCAUAUUUUGUUAGAGGUACCGAGUUGUAAUUUUUAUUCCUUUUGAGUUAUAGGUAAAUAGAAGUGUGAUGAUCAUCACUUUUAGAGCAGUACCCCAGUGAGGAAAGGAUGAUGGAGACUAUGAUUCCCCCACAAGCCGGGAUGAGACUCUGGACAAUGAGAGAAAAAAAGAGAAAAAGAAGAGAAAAAAGGAAAAGAAAAAGAAAAGAAAAAAGAAAAAAUAUAAACAAAGAGAGAAGAGGCAUUGUUAGUAUCCUUUACCACACUUGUGCUUCAAAGUAGCGCCAUGUUUUUCAUACGGAGAAUCUCCCAUGUUGUCACUUUCAUAUAUUAGUGGGAAUUUUUCAUAAUAGGAUUAGAUGCACACCCACUUAGUUCCAUAUUGAGCUUCCAUGCACUUAUAGCUCUUAGUGCAUUCGUUGCAUGGCAAUCCCUACUCCUCACAUUGAUAUCAAUUGAUUGGCAUCUCCGUAACGUGUUGGUUAGCCGCGUCGAUGUGAGACUUUCAUACUUUUUUGUCUUCUUUAUAUUUACCCCUAUCAUCAUACUCUAUUCCACAUGUAGUGCUAUAUCCAUGGCUUGCGCUCAUGUAUUGCAUGAGGGUUGAAAAAGCUGAAGCGCAUUAAAAAGUAUGAACCAAUUGCUCGGCUUGUCAUCGGGGUUGUGCAUGAUAAAUACUUUGUGUUAAGAAGACACAACAUGACAAGAUUAUAUGACCUUGUAGGGAUAGCUUUCUUUAGCGUUGAUAUUUUGAAAGACAUGAUUGUUUAUUGGGAUGUCUGGGUAUUGAUGUCUUCAUGUCAAAUUAUAGACUAUUACUUUGAAUCACUUAUGUCUUAAUAUUAAUGCCAUGGCUAGAUAUAUGAUCGAGUUUAUGCUAGGUAGCAUUCCACAUAAAAAAUAUCAUUUUUAUCAUUUACCUACUCGAGGAUGAGCAGGAAUUAAGCUUGGGGAUGCUGAUACGUCUCCGUCGUAUCUAUAAUUUUUGAUUGUUUCAUGCCAAUGUUAUACAACUUUCACAUACUUUUGGAAACUUUUUAUAUGAUUUAUUGGACUAACCUAUUGAUCCAGUGCCCAGUGCCAGUUCUUGUUUUUUGCAUGUCUUUUGUAUCGCAGAAAAUCCAUAUCAAACAAAGUCCAAAUGCGAUAAAAAUCUACGGAGAAUUAUUUUGGAAUUUAUGUGAUUUUUGGGAUGUGGAAUCAACGCAAACGGAGGGCCAUAGUGAGCACAACCCACCGGGGCGCGCCCUGGUGUAUCAUGCCCUCCUCGAGCAUCAGUUAGAGCCCUUCUUCUAGCGCAAGAAUAUAAGUUAUGGAAAAAAGUCGUGUAGAAAUUUCAGCGCAAUCAAAGUUACGGAUCUCCGGGAAUUUAAGAAACCGUGAAGGGCCGGAUCUAGGGAGCGCGAAACAGAAGAGAACAGAGAGGGGGAUCCAAUCUCGGAGGGGCUCCCGCCCCUCCGCCUCCAUGGAGGCCAUGGACUAGAGGGGGAACUCUCCUCCCAUCUAGGGGGAGGCCAAGGAAGAAGAAGAAGGAGGGGGGCUCUCUCCCCCUCUCUCCCGGUGGCGCCGGAGUGCCGCCGGGGCAAGGAUCGUGACGAUGAUCUUCAUCAACAAUCUUGUUACCGUCAACACCAACUCUCUCACCCUCUAUGCAGCAGUGAAACACCUCUUCUCCCUGCUGUAAUCUCUACUUAAACAUGGUGCGCAACUCAAUAUUAUUUCCCAAUCAUCUAUGGUUAUCCUAUGAUGUUUGAGUAGAUACGUUUUGUCCUAUGGGUUAAUCGUGAUCUUGGUUGGUAUGAUUGUAUUUUUUAUGCUGUCCUGCGGCGCCCUCUGUCUCGCGCAAACGUGAGGGGCCCGGUUGUAGGUUGUUGCAAUAUGUUCAUGGUUUGCUUAUUGUUAGUGUUGCGGGGGAUGACAGCAGCCUAAACGCGGAUAAGUGGGUCAUGGCGUAUGAGAGUAAAGAGGACUUAAUACUUAAUGCUAUGGUUGGGUUUCACGCCCUUAAUGAUCUUUAGUAGCUGUGGAUGCUUGCUAGGGGUCAAAUCAUAAGUGCAUAUGAUCCGAGUAGAGAAAGUAUGUCCGAUCAUGCCUCUCCCUCAUAUAAAAUUGCAAGGAUGAUUAUCGGUACUUGUUAUCGAUUGCCUAGGGACAAAUGACUUUCUUGUUGACAAAAGCUAUCUACUUUUAUUACCUUGCAAUUUAUUUGUAGUUUUCUUCUUGCAAAGUACUCUUAGUUUUAUUCUUACAAAAUAGUUCCAUACUUGUUCUAGGUAAAGCAAACGUCAAGUGUGUGUAGAGUUGUAUCGGUGGUCGAUAGAACUUGAGGGAAUAUUUGUUCUACCUUUAGCUCCUCGUUGGGUUCGACACUCUUAUUUAUCCAAGAAGGCUACAAACGAUCCCCUAUACUUGUGGGUUAUCAUCCAGCUAGGGGCCGGAUGUCCGGCCCGAUGGCCCGGAUGUCCCGCCCGACGAUUCCAGAUCUCGUUUGGGGCGGAAAUAUUCGAAUUGGGGGCGGAAAUUGAUUAUUCCAAGGGAAAAUUGGAGAGAUUUCGUGGAUGGAAAUGGUGAGAAAUAUGGGGGAAAGCUAGAUCCACUUGAAACCAAGCAAUUCCAUGGAUCAAAUCCAACAAAACAUCAUCAAACCAACAAAUGACAAAAAAUGGGGGUUACUUUUGGUGGGGAUUUUUGAAUUUAGGAAAUCAAGCAAAAGAAGGCUAGAAAAUGAUGGGGGAGGCUCCAAAUUUGUGGUCAAUGUGACUCAUGAUACCACAGAUGAUGUAGGGUGGAUACCCUAAGGCCGAUCUUUCAUGAAAUGGAGGGGAUCCCGCGAAGAACACGAGGGGAAACACGAGGGAAAUCGCGAGGAGAACGAGAGGAUACACCCAAAUCAACAAGAAACGAUCACAUGAUUCAAAUCCAACAAAUGGGGAUACAAAGGUAACUAGUUCAUCUCCUAGAAGGAGGCCUUGAGUCCAUGGAGGAUCUUCCCUUGCGGGGGCUUCAUCCACUAGGGAUCUUCUCACAUGGAGGUCUUGAACUCCAUGGGAGUGGUAGUCUCUCUCUCUCUUUCUCUCUCUCUCUCUCUCUCUCUCUCUCUCUCUAUCUAUCUCUCUCUCUCUCAAGAGGAGGAGUUGUAGGAGCAAAGCUCACAUACAAAUGAGCUAUCACUUUGCUAACCCUAGCUAGGAGGAGGUGGGGGUAUAUAUAGUCUAGGGCCACAAAUAGGUAAGUGGGAGAGAGUUUACAUGGGCCAUUGUUAUUGCGCAUUGUGGAGGGAGUGGAGGCACAUGACGACUACUUCAAGCUCUGAAGGGAUUGUUGCGGCCAACUCUCUUUCUUGGCCAAGCAGAAAUGCAUGAUUGCUCUGAGGAUGCUUGCACUUGGUACUGCCGCAGACGCCGUUGGUGAGAUGGUCAGGAUGGGGGAGAUCAUGUGCCUGAAGACUACUAUCAAAUUUGCCCGCACUGUGAUUGAAGUGUUUGGACCUGAGUAUCUCAGAGAACCAAAUGCGCAAAACACGGAGAAGUUGUUGGCCAUUGGAGAAGCAAGGAGUUUCCAGGAAUACUCGGAUCAAUUGAUUGGAUGCAUUGGCAAUGGAAGAACUACCACAAAGGUCUGCGGGGAAUGUAUCAAGGUCACACAAGAGAGGCCACCAUCAUACUAGAAGCGGUGGCAUCACAUGACUUGUGGAUUUGGCAUGCUUUCUUUGGAAUGUCCGGUUCUCACAACGACAUCAAUGUGCUUCAACGAUCUCCGGUGUUCAGGAGGCUUUGCAAUGGGGAAUCACCAUCGUGCAACUACACCGUCAACGGCCAGGACUACAACAUGGGGUACUAUCUUGCCAAUGGUAUCUAUCCUCAAUUGGCGGCGUUUGUGAAGACCAUAUCCGAAUCGUGUGGCAAUAAACUACAAUAAUGCAGGAAGUGGCUAGGAAGGACGUGGAGAGGGCAUUUCGUGUGCUUCAGGCUCGUUGGGGAAUUGUGCGGAGCGCUGAAAUGAUGUGGGAAUCAGAUACUUUGUGACAGCUGAUGACAUGUUGUGUUAUUCUGCACAAAUAUGAUUCUCGAGGAUGAGGGUGAAGCUGUAGCCCAAACCCAUGAUUUUUAAGCACCUGGAGAACAAGUUGAAACUCCAAAAGAUCAAGAUGCGGCUCAGCUUAUGAACUUUCUACAGAUGCAUCAGAAUCUUCGAGAUCGGCAGGUGCACACACAGCUACUCAAUGAUCUUGUGGAGCACAUGUGGAUCCACAAUGGAAACCAAGGAGGCAAUGCUUGAGUUUGGCACUUCAAAUAAAUUUUAUGUAAAUGCUAUCUAUGCUUGAUACCCAAGAAGUGCUAUUUACGUGCGACAUUGUGUUGCAUGAUCGACGUGCAUGUAUUUGCAUGGAUUUGAGAGUCUGGAGUUGAGAUAUGUGGAUGCACGAAAGGAAAUAUGAGGGCCCAUCCUGAUGCACCCGCGGGCGUACCCGGACGCCUCCGCGGGCGUUUGAGAGGCCGGAUUUGCCAAGUCCGGCUGUAGAUGUUCUAAUGUUUCAAGAAAACCGCACUAUUCAUAUCUAGAAUUUUUUUCCUCUGUCACUAUCUUAAAUUUACAUUUGAUUUGUUUAGAGAUUGUAGGCAUAUGUCUUGUGAACAUUCAUGAUUUUUAUUUUUGUUAUCUUUAAAUCAUUCAAAUAUGCUUUUUGAAAGAUGGGAGCAUGUGAGGGUGGGGCACAUGACUAUCGGAGGUGUUAAAAUAUACCCACAUGUUUAAGGUUCUAGGCCAACUAGUAAGCGUGCACGUGUAACACACAUUUUGAUUAAAAUUAACACCUGAUGUGAGAAUUCAAACAAAUAGGAAAAUAAUUUGAUACAUCCUCUCCAUUCAAUUUUAUAAGCGUAUUGUUUUUUUUCAAAAAACAAACUUUUCUAUCGUUUGACUAAAUGUACUCCAUUACUAAUAGUGACACAUCCAUGACAAGCAGCAAAAAUACCUUUUAAAUCAUGUAUCAUGACUAAAUGUAUUUCAUUAUUCGUUUCGAGUGCGGUCAAAACAAAACAAAGAUGCAACCAUCAACUUUGUUUGCAGUCGUCUUUAAACUUCACUCUUUCUAAUGGAUCAAUCCCUAAGAAUGUUAUUCAACAUCGAGAAGCAAGCACAAAGCCAUUGAUCUUUAGCCGAGUGUCAAGACUCACACAAUCAAAGAUUUGAUCGCAACAAAAUGGCUAUGAUGCAACAUCUCACCAAGACAUGUUCAUCAACAAUCAAAAGACCAAAAGGCCCGAACAAUUUAUUGGGCUGUAAAAAAUAGUUAUGUAGAACCACCAUAAUAUACAUGCUUACAACACUAUCACCGCAUAUUAUUCGCAUGCUCUAACACACGUUGUCAAUGCGAACAUCUAGCAACACCAUCCAUCCUGACAUAAUAAACAACAUAUUCUUGUCCUGGUCCAACAAGUUCAAUUAGUAAAUGACCCUCCUUAACAUGUUCAGUAGCAUUCGCUGCAAAAAAGUACGAAUAUUCAGAUUUCAUGUCAACAACAGAUAUAUUUGGAAGUGCAUUUUCUUUUCUCCUGCGCCAUAAAAUCUUCUUGAUAAGUUAUUUUUCUUUCAGGUGUAUAAUGCAAAACUCUGAUGCAAGUUAGCAUGAAACCUUCAGAAUUGGGAAUUUUAUCAACAUGAAAAGACACGGGAAGCUUUGACGAUGCAGAAACCCGUCAGAUCCAUCGGUAGGGUAGCGAGCGUAGUCGGAAGUUGGGAGUUCACAUGGGGGGUUUACGCAGGUUCAGACCCUCAUGAUGAAGUAAUAUUCUACGUCUCGCUUUGCUUUUGAUGUGGGAGCAUCUCAUGCGAGGGGGUUACAAGAUGAUGAUGGUGAUGAUGAUGACUACCGAGAGUUCUAUCUAAUUGAAUAGAUGUCAUAAGCUACCCCCGUCCUCACCUUAUAAAGGGGUCGAGAGCUAGAGUUUACAGGUGUCCGAGUUGAUCUCAUGUGUAAGGGUUUCUUGGCUUUCACAUCAAGAUGGUCUUCCCGCUCCGAGUCGGGCCCCUGCACUCAAGGUUGUCAGAAUCGCGAUUCUGUUAUACGAUUCUACAACUUUAGGAUCCAAACUAAACCCUCUGAUUCUACGAUUUUAGUUCUUAGAAUCUACGUUUCUACGAUUCUAGUAGUGAAGAUUUUACGAUUUGCGAUCCUACCAUUGAAAUUCCGAUCCAAUUCAAAAUCAUGAUUCUGACAACCUUGCCUGCACUGGCUCCUAGAGUUCAGCCGCCGCCAGAUCCAUUGGGCCCUGAGGCCGGCCUGACACCGGGCUUCCUGGUCGAUGGGCCAACCCCGGUGUAUUUACUGUCAAGCUUUAUUUGUUCCAGUUGCCUACUCACUUAAACGUAUACUCUUAUAAUGAAAGUUACCAUGUGCAUAGAAAUAUACUCUCCUAAACCUAAACAUAUCUAGAAAAAAAGAUUCAUCCUUGUAACGUCAUUCACUUAUUCCUGAGUAGAUCCACGAUCUCUAAACAUAAUGUUUCUUAUGGAACUAUUGGAUAUAGGAGAUUUUGUAGGAAGGAACCAUAACUAUGUGGAUUCAUUUGAGUAGGCACUUAUAAUUACCUCACUGACAAUCCUAUUGAAUGAAAAUAAUUUGACUGAAGGCCAUUGACAUUGAGUGGACCUGCCCCAUCACAUGCUUCCUGAUCACCUACCUUGUUCUUCCUCUCUUGGUGAGGAAGAUCUCUUCGGUGCUCUUGUUGCUUGCCGAGCGGACAACCAAGAAGUUGUCCACUUGGAGGGCAUCCAUGCUCGCUCUUGAGGUGAAAGACUCUCGCUCGUCCGCUACAUUCUCUUCGCCAUGCUCACUCACCUCUCCUUGUCAUGGUUCUUGGCCCUCCGAUGUUGAAGAAGGUGAACCACAUUAUUCACGAGUUCCUAUGGCACGGUGGAGGCGAGGUUAGAGUUGGUCGAUGCCUCGUCCGUUGGCCCAAUGUAUGUCGCCCCCUCGAGCAUGGUGGCCUCAGCAUCCGUGAUAUGCAAGGAAUCGACAUUGCUCUUCGUGUCUAAGGGAUGUGGUUCCAGGACACCUUGCCACCCCUACACAUCCCUUGUGACCAGGACUUUGGUGACAUCUUCAAUUCCUCCACCACAUGGGUACUUGGCUACAGGCAGUCUUGUUGUUUUUGGACCAAUUGUUGGUUCGAUGGUCAAUCAUCGCACCAUAUUUGUUAUCCCUUGUGCCACGCCAAUGCUGCAAGGUGUGUUCUAUAGCUGAGGGACUGCACGAGCGUGCGUGGAUCCAGGGCGUGAAAGUGUGUGGUAUCAACGAAAGGGAGGUGAAUGGGAGAUUUUUCUCAAAUUCUUCAAAGAAGCGAGUUCUUGAAAGAAUAACAACAUGAGGAAUAACUAAACGGAAGCGUAACUACAGUAUGCAUGCAAUUCAGAGUAGCGACAAAGUCAUCACGGCGAAAUAGACCAUGCAUAGGAAGUAACCGGUCAUACAAAGCAUGCAGACACAAAGGUAUUUAACCAAAGUACAGCAAAACUGAAGACAAAUAGAACAUAGCAAAAACUGAUGAAAUUGGGAAACACAUAGAUGCGGAAAUUAUUGAGUUAAAGAAAUAGAACCGGCUUGCUCGAUGAAGACAAUGGAUUUGUAUGACCAAUUCCGGUUGUCGUGACAACUAUACAUCUGGUUAGUGAGGCUUGAGAUUUAACUCAGAAGAAAUUUAGUCUUCACACUAUUCCCCUUGAGUUAAGAUCACUUAGUCCUGCCCAAUUACUCGUGAUAAUUCUUCAAGGUAGACUCCCAAAACCUUCACAGACUCAUUCUAUGGCACUCCACAAAUUCUUUUUGAAUGCUCAGAACAUGAUGCCUAACCAUCUGAAAUAUCAUAGUCUUCAAAGGUAUCAAGCGUUGGAUCACACAGGACAAUCUCUUCAUUGAUGCUCAAUCACUUUGGCUUUGGGUUUUUGAGUUUUUCCUCACUUAGGAUUCUCUCGGGUUCUUCGGAGGAUGGGUUGCUCUAGUUGGCACUUAUCAAUCAAUCACUCAAAGCAGCCAACCAAUAAAUGAUUGUGGGGGCGGCUAUUUAUAGCCUGGGUCAACCCAACAUGAAAUGAUUCUCAUGCCCUUCGGACAUGACCAUUGUCAAGAUAAGAUCCACAUGAUAGCUCGCGCUAGCACAACAAUGAUCGGAACUCUCAAUUUCCUCACGGUAGAAAAAUCGCACUAGCAAAAUCCUAUCUCUUUAGUCACACCAAUUUCAUCAACGACGAGAAGAACUGCAUCUAUAUCGCUGAAGAACUCGACUCCACUUCAAGAUAUUUCCAAAGUCUUUACUCAAAGAAAUAGGUAAGUUUGAGCAUCACUUCGAUAAUACACCUAUGUAUCACCUAGAUCCCCCUUUAAUAGUAUGGUGUUCCGUAUGAGUCAAUAUAAACAAAAAGAAACUACGAAAACAAAGUCUUCACGUUCUAGUUCACCACUUCUAUUUCUUCAAAGGGGCACGCCAAUUUUUUCAAAGAAACUACGAAAACAAAGUCUUCAUGUUCUAGUUCAUCACUUCUAUUUCUUCAAAGGGGCACACCAAUUUUCUCAAUGUAAACAUACAUUUCUAGGGGUCGUCUUUCUUGCUUAAAUCAAAUCUUUAGGGACUUUAUCUCAUGUGUAUACUCACAAACACAUUAGUCCUUUAACCCAUUUAUUUUCGGUACUCCAAAAUCACAAAAGCGACACUAGAUGAACUUACAAGGCAUUUGUGAUGCAUAGGGACCUGCUCCCAUGGUUGAGUGCGUGGAACUAUGACACCACUUCUGUGAUGUCCCGCUCUUUGUUAGUCCCGAUGUCUUGAAUUGGACUAAGAAUGUGCAGCUCUGUCAAAUCAUGCCAGCUCACACUCUUCAAAGAAUUCACCUUGGCACCGCAUUCGUGGCGGACGGGACAGAUAACUGGUGACAUGCCUAACCCUAAACCCUAACCCUAUGCCAUGGGCAUGUCACUGAUGAACAGUACCUUAAUAUGUCCCCCCUCUUUCAGUCAUUCAGUUGAGCGUGAACAAUGCCCAUGCUACAGUGGCGUUGCUACAUGAUGCCGAGCAGUAUGCAUCUACAAUAUUUUUUUGCUACAAUACAUGAUCUAGAUUGUUGAUUUUUGAUUCUAUGUCAUGUUAGAGUAACUCCAACGGGGCAACCUAAACGGACGCGUGCUUUGUCCGCUUUUCAUCCGUUUGGGUCGGCCAGACGGACAUGCGCGUCUGCAUUCUGAAAUGGGUCGGCUUGACCGCCCAACAGGAAGACUGACCCAAAUGUGCCGGCGUGGGAAAAAAAUAGCUCACACGAAAUAAACAUAAUUAAACAUUAGUGGCUGGUCAAACGCCGACCAGAGUCCACUUAAACCUAAUUAAACAUUAACUAAAACAUUAAAAAGUCUGCACCCGCCUGCUGCUGUCCCGCACGCUGCCCUAGACAUCGUCGGCCUUGCCCUUGCCCUUGGCGUCGACGCCGCCAUCGCCAUCGCCGGUGAGGUCGAUGAAGACGGGAGAAGGGCCAGCCUACCCGAACGCCACCUGGUACGCUGCCAGGGCAGCCUCCUAUGACGUCUGCUGAGGCGGGGGCCUUGCGGCUAGCCGCGCGCGCUCCUCCUCCUCCUCCUCGAGCCAGAGCGCCUCCGCGUCGCAUUGGAGCAUGGCCUCGUAGCGCAUCUGCUCCUCGUCGUCGGCCUGCUCCUGGCGGAGCCAGUGCGCCUUCCAGCGCUCGAGGUGGGCGGCCUCCUACGUCGGUGUCGCGGCGAAGUGGAUGGGAGGCGCGCUCACCCACUCAUGGUACUAGCCCAUCCACGAGUAGGCCUCCUCCAGCCAAGUGGGUGGAGGAGGGGAGCGCUUCCGCGUCGACUCCGGCUCCAGCUUGGGCUGGAUGGGCGGCGACGGUGGCGGUCGCGACACGAACAGCGGGGUGUGGACGGAGUCCCCCACCGCCGACAGGGCAAGGGCUUGCUCCAACCCAUCCCAGUGCGCGUCCUCCUCGAGGCGGCUAGCCUCUAGCGCGUGCUGCAGGGCCUCCUCGAGGGCAGCUUGGUACUCCGCCUCUGCCUCCAUGUCCUCCGGAUGUACCUGCGGGGGCGGCAGUGGAAAUGGCGGCGGGACGGCAUCGACACCCAAACGUCGUUGCUCCUCAUGUUUGAGGGCGAACCAAGCCUCCCAGUCGGGAGAGUCGGCGGCGUACUUAGGCAGCCGAAGCUGCUCCGGCGUGAGCUGCGCGCGGCGCCGGCGCACCUCCUCGUCGUGCGCCCGCUGGCUCCGCGGAACCGCCGGCACCGAGAUCCGCUGUGGAUCCAGGUGCCAAUGGUGCGGCAGCGUGACGUCGGGGUACGGCAGCGGUUGCAUGUACUCCUAGUGCCACCGUGCUUGGUGCACCAGGAUAUGCAGGCGCCGGCGAUCAUGGCGGAAAUGCGCCGGCGCCGGAGGAUGAGGAGGAUGGGGAGCACAGGAGGACGAGGCGCCGAGGGUGCCCUUGCCAUUGCUGCUGCCGGAGAGGCCCAUGGCGCGCUAGGGUUUGCUGUCGCCGGCGAGGAAGCAAAGGGAGUGGUGGGGGGGCAGAUGUGGACGGCAAAAGUGGAUGAGGCCGCCCCCGCUGCACGCGUGCUUAAAAAUGGACGCUUCCACUGGCUAACUAGUGGGCCCGUUGGGUGGUCUACGGAUGGGGACGCGGCGGACGCCGAGAAGAUGUGUGGCGCGUCCGCACCGACGCAUUCCAGGCGCAAUUUUAGGCCGGAAAUGGAUCGGCGCGGACACAAGGCGGACGCGAUUUGCGUUUGGGUCGGCGCGUUCGGCCUGCACUUUCGUCCUCGCCGAUCCAGACGAACGCAGGUGGAUGAAAUGGGUCAUCCCAUUGGAGUUGCUCUUAGAGCGUGACACGUUACGAGCGUAUCACUGGAUCUCUCCAGACGGGCUUACGUGAGAGCGUGGGCCCCGCUUUACAUCCGAUUCUUCAAUAGGCUUGCGAGCGAAGACCGGUGAAUGGACGGCUGCACACCUUGCAAAAAAAGUAGUUUGAUGUUGCCCUGUGCUCACUCUUUCUUGCUUUCGGCUUAUCAACAGGAUAAUAUGCAAUUGCGUAUUCCCAUAAAAAAUAUGCAAUUGCGUAUUCACACACACACACACACACACACAAAAGCAAUGCUAAUUGGAAAGGGUACCCUUUUCUAUCAUCCUACCCUUUUCUGUCAUCCUACGAGAUGACAAAACUUCAGAAUUUUUUUGUACUGUAAGCACACGUUAUUUUUCAAUUAAGAGUGUUUCAGUAAAAUUAUGCUAUUGCAGGAAAAUGGAAAUGUACUACCGACUCAGAUCAAAGUCAGGUUACCAACCGUGUAUUCAAUCUUCAGACGUGCAUACCCUUUUAGCUGCUCAAUACUACUCAAAACAAGCGGUGAACCACGUAAAGAUCUGAGGACAUCACAAUUUUCACAAACGUCACAACUCCUCCAGGAUGGCUGCCAAAUCCUUCCAAGAACAAAAUGCAUGUAAGCUCACCCUUGCUCAUUGGUAUGACAAUAGUUGCACCAAGGGCCAAGGCAUGUGCAAGGGUUUGGAGUAUAGUGGAUCUUGCUUGACCCAAGCACUAACAUCUUUCAUUCAGCAUAUCACUAACCGAAUGGACCAUGGAACUCAACUCCUGGCGCAGAACAUGAAGGGGAAGCAAUUUCAUUCAGAGAAGGGAGUAAAGGUGGCUGAUCUAGUCUAACAAUCUAUUCAAUGCUGAACCAUUUACAACAAACAUACAAUGUGACAUGGGCAUUAACAUAGGGAUGACCACGCAGUCUAACUACUGAGGACGUCUCCUAAAUUCUGGUGCAAAAAUUUCCACCGCAGAAUGCUAUUGUGUGGUCAGAAGAGCCCGGGCGGGCUUUCGGAUCAUAGGGCGUCAACAUAUAUCCCACCACAGCCUUUCUCCAAAUGCCGGAUUACUGAACUCCCGUACCAAACAAAAUGGGCCGGUAGAAAUGAUAUGAUUUCGAGCAGUGUUCAUCCAUCCAUAUUCUGAUAUCUUGCACAGGGGGGGAUCGAUCUACGACAUGACCUGUGAUCCCUAAUAUUGUGUGUAUCCACUUCAUGGACGUCCCAUUUCUGCUGUUGCUCAAUUUUGUGGCCCGGGUCCACAAGUCCUUAGAUGCUUCACGUUUCUGUGUCUGACAUCUGAUCUUGUAGUCACACGUGUUCAUUAUCCACACUCCCUGC